This 1304-nucleotide ribosomal RNA is filed under the name Paenarthrobacter nicotinovorans. Its description in RNAcentral is "bacterial SSU rRNA". It matches the Rfam family "Bacterial small subunit ribosomal RNA", at positions 55 to 1377 of the family's 1533-position model. The record is from RNAcentral. Lineage: Bacteria; Bacillati; Actinomycetota; Actinomycetes; Micrococcales; Micrococcaceae.
AUGCAGUCGACGAUGAUCCCAGCUUGCUGGGGGAUUAGUGGCGAACGGGUGAGUAACACGUGAGUAACCUGCCCUUGACUCUGGGAUAAGCCUGGGAAACUGGGUCUAAUACCGGAUAUGACUCCUCAUCGCAUGGUGGGGGGUGGAAAGCUUUUGUGGUUUUGGAUGGACUCGCGGCCUAUCAGCUUGUUGGUGGGGUAAUGGCCUACCAAGGCGACGACGGGUAGCCGGCCUGAGAGGGUGACCGGCCACACUGGGACUGAGACACGGCCCAGACUCCUACGGGAGGCAGCAGUGGGGAAUAUUGCACAAUGGGCGCAAGCCUGAUGCAGCGACGCCGCGUGAGGGAUGACGGCCUUCGGGUUGUAAACCUCUUUCAGUAGGGAAGAAGCGUAAGUGACGGUACCUGCAGAAGAAGCGCCGGCUAACUACGUGCCAGCAGCCGCGGUAAUACGUAGGGCGCAAGCGUUAUCCGGAAUUAUUGGGCGUAAAGAGCUCGUAGGCGGUUUGUCGCGUCUGCUGUGAAAGACCGGGGCUCAACUCCGGUUCUGCAGUGGGUACGGGCAGACUAGAGUGCAGUAGGGGAGACUGGAAUUCCUGGUGUAGCGGUGAAAUGCGCAGAUAUCAGGAGGAACACCGAUGGCGAAGGCAGGUCUCUGGGCUGUAACUGACGCUGAGGAGCGAAAGCAUGGGGAGCGAACAGGAUUAGAUACCCUGGUAGUCCAUGCCGUAAACGUUGGGCACUAGGUGUGGGGGACAUUCCACGUUUUCCGCGCCGUAGCUAACGCAUUAAGUGCCCCGCCUGGGGAGUACGGCCGCAAGGCUAAAACUCAAAGGAAUUGACGGGGGCCCGCACAAGCGGCGGAGCAUGCGGAUUAAUUCGAUGCAACGCGAAGAACCUUACCAAGGCUUGACAUGAACCGGAAGACCUGGAACAGGUGCCCCGCUUGCGGUCGGUUUACAGGUGGUGCAUGGUUGUCGUCAGCUCGUGUCGUGAGAUGUUGGGUUAAGUCCCGCAACGAGCGCAACCCUCGUUCUAUGUUGCCAGCGGUUCGGCCGGGGACUCAUAGGAGACUGCCGGGGUCAACUCGGAGGAAGGUGGGGACGACGUCAAAUCAUCAUGCCCCUUAUGUCUUGGGCUUCACGCAUGCUACAAUGGCCGGUACAAAGGGUUGCGAUACUGUGAGGUGGAGCUAAUCCCAAAAAGCCGGUCUCAGUUCGGAUUGGGGUCUGCAACUCGACCCCAUGAAGUCGGAGUCGCUAGUAAUCGCAGAUCAGCAACGCUGCGGUGAAUACGUUCCCGG